AUGGAAGGAACAAGAUUAGAGAGUAUGCAAGCGGGCACUCACACCACGUUCCACGCUACUACCACGACUCUUAAUAGACCAACGCAAACAUACGAACCCACUCGGCCGGACCGCAUGCGAUGCCACGACGACGACGACGACGACGCUCAGUUGGACCGCAUUUUGUUGAGCUGGUUCAGCGCCGGCUGCAGGAUGUUGUACAGCACCCACCCGAGCGCGGGCGCCACCACGAAGAGCAGCAGCAGGCCCCGGUUGUCGUCGGCGGGCACUACCGCCGCCAGUGCGGCGAGCUCCUGCACGGCGGCGGAGGCCGGCUCCGGCACGGCGGCCAGGCCCGCGGCCGCGGCGGCGCCGAUGCCGAGCCCGGCGACGAGCGCCUUCUCGGACCGCAUCUUGUUGAGCUGGUUCAGCGCCGGCUGGAGGAUGUUGUAG
This 432-nucleotide ribosomal RNA is filed under the name Triticum aestivum (bread wheat). RNAcentral describes it as "partial small subunit ribosomal RNA". Lineage: Eukaryota; Viridiplantae; Streptophyta; Magnoliopsida; Poales; Poaceae. The record is from RNAcentral.